AACGAACGCUGGCGGCAUGCCUAACACAUGCAGGUCGAACGAGACCUUCGGGUCUAGUGGCGCACGGGUGCGUAACGCGUGGGAACCUGCCCUUAGGUUCGGAAUAACUCCCCGAAAGGGGUGCUAAUACCGGAUAAUGUCUUCGGACCAAAGAUUUAUCGCCUUUGGAUGGGCCCGCGUUGGAUUAGCUAGUUGGUAGGGUAAAAGCCUACCAAGGCGACGAUCCAUAGCUGGUCCGAGAGGAUGAUCAGCCACACUGGGACUGAGACGCGGCCCAGACUCCUACGGGAGGCAGCAGUGGGGAAUAUUGGACAAUGGGCGAAAGCCUGAUCCAGCAAUGCCGCGUGAGUGAUGAAGGCCUUAGGGUUGUAAAGCUCUUUUACCCGGGAUGAUAAUGACAGUACCGGGAGAAUAAGCCCCGGCUAACUCCGUG
RNAcentral lists this ribosomal RNA (433 nucleotides) under uncultured bacterium. Its description in RNAcentral is "partial 16S ribosomal RNA". It matches the Rfam family "Bacterial small subunit ribosomal RNA", at positions 29 to 507 of the family's 1533-position model. The record is from RNAcentral.